GAUGAAGAACGUAGCGAAAUGCGAUAAGUAAUGUGAAUUGCAGAAUUCAGUGAAUCAUCGAAUCUUUGAACGCACAUUGCGCCCGCCAGUAUUCUGGCGGGCAUGCCUGUUCGAGCGUCAUGUCAACCAUCAAGCCCUGCUUGCGUUGGGGUCCUGCGGCUGCCCGCAGGCCCUGAAAACCAGUGGCGGGCUCGCUAGUCACACCGAGCGCAGUAAUACAUCUCGCUUUGGGCGUGCGGCGGGUUCUUGCCGUUAAACACCCCCUUUUUACCAAGGUUGACCUCGGAUCAGGUAGGAAUACCCGCUGAACUUAAGCAUAUCAAUAAGCGGAGGA
Molecule: unclassified non-coding RNA, 334 nt
Filed under: soil metagenome
Description: partial contains 5.8S ribosomal RNA, internal transcribed spacer 2, and large subunit ribosomal RNA
Rfam family: 5.8S ribosomal RNA (bases 1-120)
Source: RNAcentral